RNAcentral lists this ribosomal RNA (406 nucleotides) under uncultured bacterium. Its description in RNAcentral is "partial 16S ribosomal RNA". It matches the Rfam family "Bacterial small subunit ribosomal RNA", at positions 29 to 526 of the family's 1533-position model. The record is from RNAcentral.
AUUGAACGCUGGCGGCAGGCCUAACACAUGCAAGUCGAGCGCGCGGCGGACGGGUGAGUAAUGUCUGGGAAAAUGCCUGAUGGGGGGGGAUAACUACUGGAAACGGUAGCUCAUACAGCAUACCAUCAGAUGUGCGCAGAUGGGAGUAGCUAGUGGGUGGGGUAAUGGCUCACAUAGGCGACGAUCCCUAGCUGGUCUGAGAGGAUGUCCAGCCACACGGGAACUGAGACACGGUCCAGACUCCUACGGGAGGCAGCAGUGGGGAAUAUUGCACAAGGGGCGCAAGCCUGAUGCAGCCAUGCCGCGUGUGUGAAGAAGGCCGUCGGGUUGUAAAGCACUUUCAGCGGGGAGGCGUUACCCGCAGAAGAAGCACCGGCUAACUCCGUGCCAGCAGCCGCGGUAAUUC